RNAcentral lists this ribosomal RNA (810 nucleotides) under uncultured bacterium. RNAcentral's name for it is "bacterial SSU rRNA". It matches the Rfam family "Bacterial small subunit ribosomal RNA", at positions 8 to 796 of the family's 1533-position model. The record is from RNAcentral.
AGAGUUUGAUCCUGGCUCAGAACGAACGCUGGCGGCGUGCUUAACACAUGCAAGUCGAACGUGAUCCGGAGCUUGCUCCGGUGAAAGUGGCGCACGGGUGAGUAACGCGUGGAUAAUCUGCCCUGGUAUCUGGGAUAACAUCUCGAAAGGGGUGCUAAUACCGGAUAAGCCUACGGGAUCCUCGGAUUCUGCAGGAAAAGGUGGCCUCUAUUUAUAAGCUACCGUAUCAGGAUGAGUCCGCGUACCAUUAGCUAGUUGGUGGGGUAAUGGCCCACCAAGGCUACGAUGGUUAGCUGGUCUGAGAGGAUGAUCAGCCACACUGGAACUGAGACACGGUCCAGACUCCUACGGGAGGCAGCAGUGGGGAAUAUUGGACAAUGGGCGCAAGCCUGAUCCAGCCAUGCCGCGUGUGUGAAGAAGGCCUUCGGGUUGUAAAGCACUUUCAGCGAGGAGGAAGGGGUUGUAGUUAAUAGCUGCAACCUUCGACGUUACUCGCAGAAGAAGCACCGGCUAACUCUGUGCCAGCAGCCGCGGUAAUACAGAGGGUGCAAGCGUUAAUCGGAAUUACUGGGCGUAAAGCGCACGCAGGCGGUUGGUUAAGUCAGAUGUGAAAGCCCCGGGCUCAACCUGGGAAUUGCAUUUGAAACAGCAAGACUUGAGUACGGGAGAGGAAAGCGGAAUUCCUGGUGUAGAGGUGAAAUUCGUAGAUAUCAGGAGGAACACCGAUGGCGAAGGCAGCUUUCUGGACCGAUACUGACGCUGAGGCGCGAAGGCGUGGGUAGCGAACAGGAUUAGAUACCCUGGUAGUCC